UGGGGAAUAUUGCACAAUGGGCGAAAGCCUGAUGCAGCGACGCCGCGUGAGGGAUGACGGCCUUCGGGUUGUAAACCUCUUUCAGCAGGGAAGAAGCCACAAGUGACGGUACCUGCAGAAGAAGCGCCGGCUAACUACGUGCCAGCAGCCGCUGUAAUACGUAGGGCGCAAGCGUUGUCCGGAAUUAUUGGGCGUAAAGAGCUCGUAGGCGGUUUGUCGCGUCUGCUGUGAAAGCCCGGGGCUUAACCCCGGGUGUGCAGUGGGUACGGGCAGACUAGAGUGCAGUAGGGGAGACUGGAAUUCCUGGUGUAGCGGUGGAAUGCGCAGAUAUCAGGAGGAACACCGAUGGCGAAGGCAGGUCUCUGGGCUGUUACUGACGCUGAGGAGCGAAAGCAUGGGGAGCGAACA
Molecule: ribosomal RNA, 408 nt
Filed under: uncultured bacterium
Lineage: Bacteria
Description: partial 16S ribosomal RNA
Rfam family: Bacterial small subunit ribosomal RNA
Source: RNAcentral